This 237-nucleotide unclassified non-coding RNA is filed under the name Hevea brasiliensis (rubber tree). The record is from RNAcentral. Lineage: Eukaryota; Viridiplantae; Streptophyta; Magnoliopsida; Malpighiales; Euphorbiaceae.
GUUUCUAACUUUUGACAUUUGAAGUUGUUGUCUUUGUCAUUUUUUGUAAAAAGUGGAUGAGUUAUGGUAGCCUUGGAACAAUCGUAAAGUUGUCGUCUUGUGAUCAGGGGGAGGAUGGUGUUCACUAUAUAUGUAUAGGAUAACUUUUUGAUUUUUGUUUAUGUUUUUGGUCAGCCUAGCAGGAAGUAUCUAUGGGUAAGUUUCAUGUUGCUAACCUUUUGAUAUUCAAAGUUGUCG